RNAcentral lists this ribosomal RNA (517 nucleotides) under uncultured Staphylococcus sp. RNAcentral's name for it is "bacterial SSU rRNA". It matches the Rfam family "Bacterial small subunit ribosomal RNA", at positions 8 to 507 of the family's 1533-position model. Lineage: Bacteria; Bacillati; Bacillota; Bacilli; Caryophanales; Staphylococcaceae. The record is from RNAcentral.
AGAGUUUGAUCCUGGCUCAGGAUGAACGCUGGCGGCGUGCCUAAUACAUGCAAGUCGAGCGAACAGAUAAGGAGCUUGCUCCUUUGAAGUUAGCGGCGGACGGGUGAGUAACACGUGGGUAACCUACCUAUAAGACUGGGAUAACUUCGGGAAACCGGAGCUAAUACCGGAUAACAUUUAGAACCGCAUGGUUCUAAAGUGAAAGAUGGUUUUGCUAUCACUUAUAGAUGGACCCGCGCCGUAUUAGCUAGUUGGUAAGGUAACGGCUUACCAAGGCGACGAUACGUAGCCGACCUGAGAGGGUGAUCGGCCACACUGGAACUGAGACACGGUCCAGACUCCUACGGGAGGCAGCAGUAGGGAAUCUUCCGCAAUGGGCGAAAGCCUGACGGAGCAACGCCGCGUGAGUGAUGAAGGGUUUCGGCUCGUAAAACUCUGUUAUUAGGGAAGAACAAAUGUGUAAGUAACUGUGCACAUCUUGACGGUACCUAAUCAGAAAGCCACGGCUAACUACGCG